AAGAUAAUAUAUAAUGGUGACUUGAUUAAACAAGUAUCCGAGUGCAGAAACAUUAAGAAACGCUGGUGAAGAACACCGCAUAUCACAGAAAACUAGCAAGAUAUAAUAUUAUUAAAAUUCAGAGGGCAGUCCUUUAAAUACAUGCAUUUCCUGUCAUGAUGUAGGACAGGCAGGUGGUGCACGCAUACUCUAUACUGUUCACUGACUGCUUCAGGCUCAGUCAUUUAUUGUUCUUUAGGGGGAGUGAGAAGAGGGUGAUUAUUUUUUCAUUUCAGAAAGGGGUGCGGAUAAAGAGUGGGAUUAGGGAGAGAGAGUGGGAGGAGCUUGGAUGUCGUCCAGAUAUCUUUCUGAUCUCUCUGUGGAUAAGUGUCAGAGCCAGCCACGCAUCAGCUAACAGUCUACUGCAGCAUCCGAGGAGCAGGGCUUGGCGUGUCGACCAUCCACAUGGCCACAGCAAUGGAAUACAGGGAAUCCCACCCAAAUGGUAUGAUCCAUAUCUGAAUCACAUUGUUUUCUUUGGUAAGGUAAGCAUUCAUUGAAAGCUCAAAAUAUCCUGAUUGGGAAGCAUUUACUGAGCCUACUUAAAGAGCCUUGCUUAUUAUUUUCUGUACUGUGCUAUGCCUUUAAAAUAUCUCCAGUACAAGAAACCCACACCAUGUAACACUUUGCCACAGAAACUAGCUGUUAAAACAACCAUUUUGUAUAUCUCUCUUUUCUAUUUUUUAAAUUGUUAUAUACAAUGAGCACAUAAUUGGACAUUCUAAAUUGGGAGAAACAAAAGGGAGUAAAAUAAAAUAUGCAAAGAAAAUAAAAUCGGAAUACUUGACCCCUAACUGUAUCUAUUACUGUGCAGUGAUCAAACCCAUAUCUAUCAAUGACUCAUACUAACGUUACUGCCCUUGAGUCCAGCCCUGCUGUGUAUUGUCAUACUGUGCUACCUGGAAAUAGGGUUACUAGAUUUUCAGAGGGAAAAACUGGGAUGUUUUUAUUUUCUUCAAUUGAUUGACGCCAUAGCAACUCUGAAGCCAUUAAAAUAACUAUACAAUAACACAAUUUAUUUAUUGUAUGUUUCUAAGUAUUCGGUGGCUCCCUCUAAUCAAGUUCUCACGCAGUAGCAACGUGAUUAGAGGGAGCCACCGAACACUUAUUACAAACAUACAAUAAACAAUUCAUUGUUUACUUUCUAUUGUCAUCUGACCAAAAUAAAUACAAUAGCAAAACCGGAUUUUACUGUUUCUGAUCAGGACACAAAAGUUUAGCCUGACAACUGGGGCAAGCCCAGUUUUCCGGGGACUUCUGGUAAUCCUACCUGUAAAGGAUACCGGUAGAUUAAUAACAAACUGCCCCAGUACAAAAGAAAAAAAAAAAACACUGCUUUACUCAUAAUUCAUUUUUAUUACGCAGGUAUUAUGUUUACAGUGGCGACUAGAUUUUUGAAAUUGACUUUUAAAGUUCUUAACAUUUUCUAUUUAACAUUUUCUAUUUUUGAAACAAAAAAAAAAAAAAGAAAACAGUUGUCACCGUUGUUGAGUCACCAUUUAAAGAAUCCAAAAACAGUGUUUGACAAUUUCAUGAAUAUCACUUCAUCUUUUUCAUAGAAACUGAAAAAGGAGUAUUUUUUACAUUUCUUAACAACAGCAUAAAAAAGUUUAAGGAGCUCUGUUUAGUUUAUCAAAAACAGUAUUGAAAUAUCUCAUGAGUUUUAGGCCUCUGGAUAAAUUUGACCCUGGAUAAAUACAGGCUUUUGUCCUUUAACUCCUGAAGGUAGUGUACCAUUGAAAUGUGUCUCGGCACUCAUUAGAUAAAUAAAUCAGGAGAGAUUUUGUUCCACUUUCUGCUGCUCUGUUUUACUUUGUGCCUCUCCAGCUUUGUAAUGGAUCACCCAGUGCAGGAACACACCAAGGCUAUUCUUCUUCCUGCAUCUGAGAGUGAACUUUACUGAAUUUGUCACUGUCGAGCUGCACUGAGGAGUGAGCGACGCCUAGCGGAAGUGAAAAGCCACAGUGUCCAGUUACACACCAAUGGAGGGAGCUGUCAUUCCCCUGUGGCCUAAAGAAGGAGCCUGCCGUGGUGCGCACUGGCUCUGGGUCGACACUGGUUGGCGGGGAGAAGGACCAGCAAGAAUUUUGGUCUCAUAAACCUCCAACCAAAUUCAAAUGAUAAGUUAAAAUUCAUUAUAUGAACACAAAAAACUUCACGUGACAAAUGGACCUUGACGGAUGUAGUUGUCAGACAUGCUGGAUCAUUGUGCGUUACGAAGUUAAUUAAAAAGCACGCUGACAAGCGGAUGAAAGAUGUCUGCCCUUUAUCACUUUACCAUCACCCUGCUGCUGCUGUUUAAUAGCUGUGGAAAAUAUGAAUGAUAGCCUGAAUCCUGUAAUGAUGUUUUCCCAAAUACUAACGAUGUGCGCUGAAAGUCUGCGUCAGCUAAAGCAACAGUAUUAUCACACUUGGUUCUUUAAACUACUGAAUCAUAUAGCAGCUUUUGUUCUCCAUGUCUUGACUAUGAGGACAGCUAUAUUAUAUCAAGACAAAAUCAAUAAAUUAUGUUUCACUGGAGAACCAAAUAGGCAGUCUGUGAAAGUGCCAGCGCUGUAAGGCUUUCUUGUUCUGGUAAUGAUCACAGUAAAUCUGUUUUUAAAUGUACUGUAGAUUCAAGAAACUCAAUAGGAAAAUGAUUUUUUUUUUGUGUGUAGAAGAAACAGGCUUACAAAAAAUGUAUGUCUUAUCCAUGGAGGGCAUGCUUAAAUAGGAGAUGAAAUGCAGGUUCUUUGCCCCACAAAACCUAUAUUAAAUUUACAUUUCAAAGCACAAUGAAACAAGCAGAGGAUCAACACAAUAUUUUCUAUAAAGGGUACAUUGGCAACCAUCAAGCGUCUUAAAUAUUUCAAAAGGCCUUACAUUUUAUACAUUAGGGACUCAACAGGGUGCUCUAUGUUAGCAUGCCAUUUGCUAUGGAAACAGUUGAACAGGACUUUGAAAGGAGGUAUUGGGAAACCUUAUUAUUUUAUUUAAACAGGAAUUUGUUUGUUGCUUGCACUUUUAUUUAAAUUCACUGCACAGUUUUUUUAAACUUAUUUUUACAAUCUUUGCAUGUUUCAUAUUAAAUGCUACACGGUAAUUGAAAUGAAUUAAGUAAGACUAACUACUAACUGCUGCUACUAAUGCUAAUACUAACAAUGCAAACUAACACAUCUAACCUUUUUGUGUGUCUUCUUGGUAUCUUAACUGUACUAACUUUCAGCCUCAAAUAAGGCUAUUUGACUUAUAACUGUGUUAAGAUUUUGAUGGAUAUCCGAAUAUUCUUUCAUUAAUUGUACAAUGCAACAUAUUGAAAUAUUAAAACAUGGUAGCCUAUCGAAUGAUCUAACUCCGCUCAGUAGAAUGUCUUUUGGAGAUUUCAGACGUCAUGGUAUACAGAUUAAAACCCAAUUUUUGCCAAUAUUUUCACCAAAGGCAACAGGAAUAUUCGACUAUUUAUCCCAGCACGUACAAUGCACCCGUUCCUACUAAUAAAAUGGUCACUUCUUUCCUGUCCUUCUCUUUUCAAUUUUAACCCAGUUCUGCUUUUUCUUUUAAGCCUUGGUCUUGAUCAUGCAUGAAGAGCUCCACUCCUCCGACAGGAUGGGGUGCAAUAACUAACAUUUGUGAAUAACCUGGUUACUAACAACUACUAACUGCAAUUAACAGAAAAUCUAUAAAGUAAGUACGUUUUUAUUUUCCUGUACGAACUUUUAAAUCCAGCCUACUCAGUUAUUAUAACUAACCAUGUCUGUCUGUCUGCCUGUCUGUCCAUGUCUGUCGUACCGAUUUACUGUUUGUCUGUGUAGCUAUAUAUGUAGUCAUAUACAUCUAUUUAUAGUUUACUACUGUACAGAAUGUGUGUGUUGGGUAUAGUGUCUGUUCCCAACCUAAUAAACUAACAAAACCUAACAUUGUACUAACCUUUUUUUAUACAGUAUUACUUGAUUUGUAAUAUAUUGGAUAUAUAUUUUUUCACCUUUUAUGGGAGUGUAACCACUUCUCAAACCUGCUGAAGAAAUGUAUAUAUAUAUAUAUAUAUAUAUAUAUAUAUAUAUAUAUAUAUAUAUAUAUAUAUAUAUAUAUACAUACACACACACACACACAUGCUAGGUAAUAUCUACAUUUUUAAUAAACAUAUAAUAAUAUUCAAAUGCUGUAUAAAAUAUAUUUUAAGAUUCUUUGCUCUUCAAAAUUUUAUUUUUAGAUUUUGGAAAUGCGUCAUAUAAACUUGAUUGAAAUUAUAUAAAAACACACCAGGAUAGUUCCAAAUAAAAAAAUAAAAUAAAAAAAAAAAUUACGAAUUUCCGAGCUUAUUAUUCUUAUUAGAAAACUGUAUACAAUGUAUCAGUCAGAAAGUGACAAAAGCAAUUUCAAAUAUCUAUUAAAAUUGACACUUUUAAACACACAAUUGCUGUAACAGCCUCUGAACUUGGACCUAUAAUAAAAACACAGCUGUCUUAAGUCUUCAAAUAAAAACACAAAUUAUACUAUUAUAAUACUGUGAAAAAAACAGAGUGUAAGAUUACCAGCAAUGUCAUAACAAAGGAUCUGUAACACAUGUUGCACAUGGCUCUCAAUACUGUAACACACAGGAAUGCUACUGGAAGUGAAUAAUGUGAUACCAUUCUACCAAUGGAAUCCAAUAGUUCAUAUACUAUAUAACGGGACAUGUUUGACUCCCCGUUAACAGUGUCACUUUCUGACAGCAUUACUUGUAUCAGUACCACUCAAUUAAGGAUCAAAUUGAUCAUGAAGCAAUGCAGGAUUUGGGAAAGUGGUCACAAGACUAAUGGAAAGAUCCCCUGUCCUGCUGAACCCAGCUGUUAGUUCUGAAUGAUAGUGCUUGGUCUGCUGCUUGUAUUUGUAUCCCACUUUGAGAACAGUGUGCAUUUGGUGAUUUCAAACUAACAUAGAAAACUAAUGCUGGUACUAACAGAUGCUGUUACAAAUACUAACUUCGCUGGGAGAAUCAACUGCUAAUGUUACUGCUGCUAAAUGGUUUGAUGCUUUUACUAACCGCUGUAUGCAUUAGUAACUAACAUUAGAGCUCUAUUCCUUGUCUUACAAUAAUAGUGUAUGCUUCUGAUGUAUAUUGUACUAACACUGUUACUAAAUGUUGCAAAUAUACUAACCACUCUUACUAACAAAAUAAUAAAACAGUACUAACACAUUACAGUAGAAACUUAUACUAACUGUACUAACUGCAAAAUUACUAACGUUUCCAAUUACUAUCAAUUAAAUUAUUUUCUGUGAACUUUUUAAAAUAUGCUACGAGUGUUUUUUCUUGCUAACACUUCUGCUACAGAAACACUGACUGGCAUGAAUGUGUGGUGGUGGUGCUGGUACUAACCAAGGGAAUUGAAGCAUGUUUUUGUAUGACUGACGUGUGACUAACACUGUGCAUCUGUUUCUAUCUGGAUGGUACGGGUGGGCUAGCUUUUGAACGUUCAGAUGUAGGAAGAUGUUAAAAACUAGGAAGAGCUCAAAACAGAGGAGGAUAUUGACUGUGAGAAGGGUGACUACAUUGUUGCAUGUCUUUAAAAUAGCAAUCUUUAAUGUACAUUAUAUAUAACCCAAUGGAAUUGCAGGCUUUAUUAACAAAGUCAUGCAGUACAUACGCACACUUGACAAUUGUUCCCUUAUACCUAACUGUCUUAAACCUUUUAUAAGAUCAUAGAUCUGUGGGAGGUUAUUUGUAUAUUUAUAUAUGUAAGGAAAUAAUACCUGGUACUGCUCUUCAGAAAUGUAUUAUAGUAUACCAAGAUUUCUCAUUGUGUACAAUUUUAUUUAAACAAAUACUGUAUGGAACUAGGGCUGGAUAUGACGUCUCUGACAUUUUAUAUAUAAAGUAAAACCUUGAGUCACCUUCAAUAUGAAGGUCCCUUGUAUUCAGUAUUAAGGCCACCAUCUGCAGUCCCAAAUCUAUAAACCCUUUGGGAAAUGAGCUGUCUAAUUAGACCAAUCAUUCUGCAAACUACCAAACUAAAAAAAAAGCUGUUCGAAAGUUUGCAUUAAAUUAAAUUAAAUUAAAUUAAAUUAAAUUAAAUUAAAUUAAAUUAAAUUAAAAUAAAAUAAAAUAAAUAAGCUCAAGAUCGUUCAACUAUUUAAUAAAGUGCUAACCAGUUCAAUAUAUUGGCUAUUCCACAAAUGGGAUUUGAAUUUCUGGCAAUACAUUCUAUGUAUCUUCAGUAGUAAGUCCACAUUUUGUUGGCCCCUUGACUGGCCUUGUAUGAAAAGGCAUUUACUACAGUUAGGAAAUUUGACCUCAAACUGGAAAUAUAAUGUCCCUACUGCCAUCGCGUAGUGUUCUAAUGCAGUCGUCUGCAGCUGAUGAAUUCCCAAAAGAGAGAAAAAAAAAAUCCAGGAUUUCUGAGUUGAAAAGCUAGCUGUUAGAAAACAGACAGCUUAAAGACUGAGCGACUGGAACCCCCAUUGUGCAGAGGCACAUUUAAAAUGGCCUGUGAGUGCUGCUCAAUCUAUAAAGAUGAAAAGCUAAAUGCAUGCUGUCAACUUUAGUUCUAGGAGAAUGCAGCCGUUUCAGAGGACCCUAUCUGUGUGCUUUUCAUCUUACACGUUAUAAAAUGGAUGCCUUACAUCAACAUUUCCUAAUAGUUAAUGUCUUACAUGUUUAAAAUCCUAUUACAGCAGUUCUGUUUGAUUCUACAUUGUUGUUUCAGCUUAGAUCGUUAUUUUCCAUGCUAACUAACUAACAGCAAAAACUGCUUCUGAAAAGACUCCUGUAGGCUUUUUGUGGGGAAGCACUUAAGUCCUGCACAGGCAGUGCACAACGCUUCACCUGUGAACUGGAUCGCCACCUUUAGUCUUGGAGUCUUUUCAGAAGCAUUGUCAAUAAUGAUCUAAGAAGAAACCAAAGAGAAUCACACAGAACACACAGGGAAUACAGAGAUAAGAAAAUAUAUCAGGAAUGUGUAGGUCUAACAAGCAUUCGUUUUAGUUUUCUAAUAUGUCUGUUUCUGUUCUAACUAUGAACUCCAGACUCUAAAACAAUUAUAUUACUAAACCAGAAAAAUAUAACUUUAGCAAAGAGGGCUUUCAGCUUAUGUCAUUAAAACCUUAUUAAAUGUACCAGAAAUAGACAUUCAAAAAUGAUAUUUAAUAUGAACCAAUGUAUGCUUGAGAAUAGUUUUCUCUAGAUCUCUUAAUAGCUUUUGGGGGAUGCUUUGCUAUAGCAACCUACAUAUGUAUGUGUUCUGUCCCCUGCCAUUAAACCAAACCUAGUUAUAAGAAUCGUAUGCUUUCCAAGCAAGAAAGUCUAAAAAUCAGUACCUAUAAACCACCAAAUAAAGAGUUGACAUUUUGUGAAUUAUAUGUAGUUUGCCAGCAUGACAGUUCUAAAAUCACCACCUUUUAAACACUCCCCCUUCUUAAUGUGUGUAUUAACACUAUCCAUGUAUUAAAAUAACAGUGCUUUGUUUAAUGAAAAUGAUACAAUACUGAAGCUGCUGCUAAUAAAUCCUUGACUCAUGUUCACCCCAAUGGGCAUUGAUUUUCCAGGGAAUUCUGGAACUAACUUGACUACUAAUCAAUUAAUAUAUAUGUCUGGUUGUAAUGCAUAUUGAAUAUUACUAACAUAACAAGCUGCUUUGAACCUGCCUGAUAUGAAAUUUCACACGCUUACAGUAUGUGCUGUUAUAACACAUACCUGCUUUGAUCUAACCUGCAGUAGUUAAAGUAAAUAAGGGGACACGGGACUGACAGAAUAAAAAUGCAUCUUCACUGCAAUAUUAAUCCAACUAAUACAUAAGGAUUUUUUACUAACUUAAUGCUGUCUUUAUGGGUAUGAAUACGGCUAAUCCUUUGGUCAGCAAAAGCAAUGCUUUGCCCAGUAGUUCAUUUCAAGACGCUCCCAGUUUCCUCACUGAACAACAGUUCAAUGUCUUACCAUAUGCCAGGCUGAAUAGAUACGACUGCACUCACUGGGUGAUAAGGGGCAACUCUUUUCUUUAUACUUUAUGUUUAUAACUGGUUUCAGUCCAAGGUGCUCCAGUCUGUAAUGUGAAAGACCUAUCCAUACACCUCCAAAUUACAAGGACGGCAACAAAUAAUACGAUUGUAUAGUUCAUUUUAAACCAUCACAGGAACUAGUAUGACCCAGUUCUCCAUCUUCCCAAAGGCUAGUCCAUGGGACACUGUAUUUCUUUGUCAAAUGUUAGUAAAGGCAAUAGUUAUUAUCAGCAUGUAGUAAACAGGAAAGAAGCAGACGAAGGCAUCAGCCGCAAUGUUUGCAUAUCUGACUUCAAUCAAAUAAUUCACGCUGCUUUAUCGCACUAUUCAAUCAAAAUCUUCCAAAUAAAAAAUGUGGUCAAAUUCAAUUAACUUUUAAUAUGAAAGGCAUUUUACAAAGUAUCAUUUUUUUUUUUAAAUAGGAAACUAUGUAGCAAUAAUAUGACCUUCAUAAAGGUGACAUGCAUCGUAUAACUAUGUGCGUAACCCUUUGGGAUCACUUUGAAAACCCACAUAACAUGCAUAUGAAUAUUUAUAACAUGUCUUAAUAUUUAUUACAAACUACAAUGUACUGUAAUUGAGAAUUCAGCCUGUGUAUGAGACCUGUCACCAUUAACACCUUUACUGUUAUUAUUGAGGUCUCUUAAAUAGAAUGAUGUAGCACUGUAGUUGGCAAAAACGUUAUGAUUACUGUAAUGUCAUUUUGGCCUUUGUUAUGAAUGCUGCAUAAUGUCCUAUUCAAUUUAAGCCAGUAUUUCACAUGUAUUGGUCUUACAACUGGUUUUAAUCCUGUACUGAAAUGUUCCGACAUAAAAAUAUGUCAGGAAAAUAUAACCUACAGAACAAUGCAAUGUGUAUGUUUAUAGUUUCUGUUUUUAAUAAUUGUAAUGUGCAGUUCAUGUACAUAUUAAAAAGGUUGGAAUGAGUGUUUUAUAUAAUUCUUUAUUGCUGUUUCUGCUUGUUUACUAACUAAUUCCCCCUUUUAACCACAAGUACUGCUUCUGAAAAGGCUCCUAAAUGCUGGAUUUUCCCAAAUGUUGUUUUUAUCAGACAAUCCGUCUGCUACCUACUGUUUGGUUGCGGGGAAUAGCAGCUAGUGAUUGGCUAGCUGCAGAUUCCUAACCAGCAUGUGGGCGUGUCCCGGCGGAGCGUCUCACGAUAAGUGUCCAGCUAACACACCUCAUGGCUACUGAAAAGCCACAGGACCCAGACUGUCCACGUUACCUGAACAACAAAUCUUAAAAGCCCAAAUCCUCCGAUCACUAUGUGCUUUGUGAAGAGGAAGCCAAAACCGCCGAUCACCGGGGUCAGAGUUUUAAUUAUUCAAAGAAAACGGAAUUAGUUAAGGGAUUUUAAGUCCCACAAGUGUAGUUUUGUUUUGCUCUGUGUUUUCUUUUGCCUUUUUGUUUUCUAUGUCCUCCAUGCGCUACGAUUGCUGGAAGCGUCACAUGUGUUUUUUUAUUUUUCUUGUGUUUACUUGAAAUAAAUCCUGUGUGCCCUA
Molecule: long non-coding RNA, 9490 nt
Organism: Acipenser ruthenus (sterlet)
Lineage: Eukaryota; Metazoa; Chordata; Actinopteri; Acipenseriformes; Acipenseridae
Exons: 3
Source: RefSeq, a predicted model, not a curated record